This 229-nucleotide ribosomal RNA is filed under the name uncultured bacterium. RNAcentral describes it as "partial 16S ribosomal RNA". It matches the Rfam family "Bacterial small subunit ribosomal RNA", at positions 568 to 796 of the family's 1533-position model. The record is from RNAcentral.
UACGUAGGCGGAUUAUUAAGUCAGUGGUGAAAGUUUACGGCUCAACCGUAAAAGUGCCAUUGAUACUGGUAGUCUUGAGUACAGUAGAGGUAGGCGGAAUUUAUGGUGUAGCGGUGAAAUGCAUAGAUACCAUAAAGAACACCGAUAGCGAAGGCAGCUUACUAUACUGAGACUGACGCUGAGGCACGAAAGCGUGGGGAGCGAACAGGAUUAGAUACCCUGGUAGUCC